AGCGAACGCUGGCGGCAGGCUUAACACAUGCAAGUCGAACGCCCCGCAGGGGGAGUGGCAGACGGGUGAGUAACACGUGGGAACGUACCCUUUGGUUCGGAAUAACUUGGGGAAACUCAAGCUAAUACCGGAUAAGCCCUUAUGGGGAAAGGUUUACUGCCGAAGGAUCGGCCCGCGUCUGAUUAGCUAGUUGGUGAGGUAAUGGCUCACCAAGGCGACGAUCAGUAGCUGGUCUGAGAGGAUGAUCAGCCACACUGGGACUGAGACACGGCCCAGACUCCUACGGGAGGCAGCAGUGGGGAAUAUUGGACAAUGGGGGCAACCCUAAUCCAGCCAUGCCGCGUGAGUGAUGAAGGCCUUAGGGUUGUAAAGCUCUUUUACCCGGGACGAUAAUGACUGUACCGGGAGAAUAAGCCCCGGCUAACUUCGUGCCAGCCGCCGCUGUAA
RNAcentral lists this ribosomal RNA (447 nucleotides) under uncultured bacterium. RNAcentral describes it as "partial 16S ribosomal RNA". It matches the Rfam family "Bacterial small subunit ribosomal RNA", at positions 29 to 523 of the family's 1533-position model. The record is from RNAcentral.